GACGAACGCUGGCGGCGUGCUUAACACAUGCAAGUCGAACGGAAAGGCCCUGCUUUUGUGGGGUGCUCGAGUGGCGAACGGGUGAGUAACACGUGAGUAACCUGCCCUUAACUUUGGGAUAACUUCAGGAAACUGGGGCUAAUACCGGAUAGGAGCUCCUGCUGCAUGGUGGGGGUUGGAAAGUUUCGGCGGUUGGGGAUGGACUCGCGGCUAUCAGCUUGUUGGUGGGGUAGUGGCUUACCAAGGCUUUGACGGGUAGCCGGCCUGAGAGGGUGACCGGCCACAUUGGGACUGAGAUACGGCCCAGACUCCUACGGGAGGCAGCAGUGGGGAAUAUUGCACAAUGGGCGGAAGCCUGAUGCAGCAACGCCGCGUGCGGGAUGACGGCCUUCGGGUUGUAAACCGCUUUCGCCUGUGACGAAGCGUGAGUGACGGUAAUGGAUAAAGAAGCACCGGCUAACUACGUG
RNAcentral lists this ribosomal RNA (467 nucleotides) under uncultured bacterium. RNAcentral's name for it is "partial 16S ribosomal RNA". It matches the Rfam family "Bacterial small subunit ribosomal RNA", at positions 28 to 507 of the family's 1533-position model. The record is from RNAcentral.